GUCUGGUAAAAUACAUCAAUUUUAUUAAGUGCAGAGAAGAAAAACAUUUUGAAUCUAACUUUCAAAAAAGGACACAUAUCUACUCAUCAUGAAAUAGAAGUCUUAAACUUGUACAAACAAAUUAUCACAGCACUAAGUAAUUUAUGACUUCAAACAGACCAGAAAGCAGUAAUAAAGGGCUGAUAAUGUUGCCAGUUGUUACAGAAAAUAUAUUUUGCAUUUUUGUAAAAAGUAUUCUCUCAAAAAAAUAAAAAGCAUUGAUAAG
Molecule: long non-coding RNA, 265 nt
Organism: Anguilla rostrata (American eel)
Lineage: Eukaryota; Metazoa; Chordata; Actinopteri; Anguilliformes; Anguillidae
Exons: 2
Source: RefSeq, a predicted model, not a curated record